AUCUGGGCGGCGAAAUUCAGAAUGACUGGCUGGACUCGUUCCUGUCUGGUCGUUUGAUAUUUUCGUCGCUGUAUCAGACGUCGCGAUCUGUUUGUUGUUGGUCCCUGCUCGGAGGAGUUGCAAUCGAGUUUGUUGUUGAUGCGUUUCGGCGUGUCAUACGGCAAAGAUGCGAAUCUCUGGCUGACAACGGACAGUAAACAAUGGUGACUGACGCCGUGUCGCGUACGCGGUGUUGGUACCGAUCUGCGACGAUCUCUUCGGGCCUCUUUCCGACCCGUCUUGAAACACGGACCAAGGAGUCUAACAUGCGCGCGAGUCGCGGGGUAUCGAGCGCACUACGGUGCGUUCGUUCAUUAUGAAACCCGUGCUUGAAGGCGUAAUGAAAGUGAACAGGGAAGAUGGUGUUCCGAGUAUACGUACCGUGAGAUUUCGCGGCCGGACACCCGCAUUCCCGGGGCGUCUCAAUGGCUCAUCGCGAAUGCGGACUGUCGUCUUUCGGGGCGAUAGUCGGUUUGCGAUGGUCCGA
Molecule: ribosomal RNA, 526 nt
Filed under: Lepidosaphes piniphila
Lineage: Eukaryota; Metazoa; Arthropoda; Insecta; Hemiptera; Diaspididae
Description: partial 28S ribosomal RNA
Source: RNAcentral